AGUGAACGCUGGCGGUAGGCCUAACACAUGCAAGUCGAACGGCAGCACAGUAAGAGCUUGCUCUUACGGGUGGCGAGUGGCGGACGGGUGAGGAAUACAUCGGAAUCUACUUUUUCGUGGGGGAUAACGUAGGGAAACUUACGCUAAUACCGCAUACGACCUACGGGUGAAAGCAGGGGAUCUUCGGACCUUGCGCGAUUGAAUGAGCCGAUGUCGGAUUAGCUAGUUGGCGGGGUAAAGGCCCACCAAGGCGACGAUCCGUAGCUGGUCUGAGAGGAUGAUCAGCCACACUGGAACUGAGACACGGUCCAGACUCCUACGGGAGGCAGCAGUGGGGAAUAUUGGACAAUGGGCGCAAGCCUGAUCCAGCCAUACCGCGUGGGUGAAGAAGGCUUUCGGGUUGUAAAGCCCUUUUGUUGGGAAAGAAAAGCAGCAGGUUAAUACCCCGCUGUUCCGACGGUACCCAAAGAAUAAGCACCGGCUAACUUCGUG
This 492-nucleotide ribosomal RNA is filed under the name uncultured bacterium. Its description in RNAcentral is "partial 16S ribosomal RNA". It matches the Rfam family "Bacterial small subunit ribosomal RNA", at positions 29 to 507 of the family's 1533-position model. The record is from RNAcentral.